Molecule: ribosomal RNA, 453 nt
Filed under: Exiguobacterium sp. jkl4
Lineage: Bacteria; Bacillati; Bacillota; Bacilli; Caryophanales
Description: bacterial SSU rRNA
Rfam family: Bacterial small subunit ribosomal RNA
Source: RNAcentral
UUUAUUCGAANCACGCGAAAGACCUUACCAACUCUUGACAUCCCCCUGACCGGUACAGAGAUGUAUCUUCCCCUUCGGGGGCAGGGGUGACAGGUGGUGCAUGGUUGUCGUCAGCUCGUGUCGUGAGAUGUUGGGUUAAGUCCCGCAACGAGCGCAACCCUUGUCCUUAGUUGCCAGCAUUUGGUUGGGCACUCUAGGGAGACUGCCGGUGACAAACCGGAGGAAGGUGGGGAUGACGUCAAAUCAUCAUGCCCCUUAUGAGUUGGGCUACACACGUGCUACAAUGGACGGUACAAAGGGCAGCGAAGCCGCGAGGUGGAGCCAAUCCCAGAAAGCCGUUCUCAGUUCGGAUUGCANGCUGCAACUCGCCUGCAUGAAGUCNGAAUCGCUAGUAAUCGCAGGUCANCAUACUGCGGUGAAUACGUUCCCGGGUCUUGUACACACCCNCCCGUC